GGUCUCAGAAGUUUCACACCGUGUUCGUGCUCUUCAGCAAGUCAGCAAUGGUACUGGUGUUGUUGUUCCGGCUGUGGCAACUGUUUCCCGUAACCGUCGACCUGUUGCUUCAUUCGGUCCUUCUGUUCCUGCUGCUGUCUUUGGCGUGGCUUCCGCUCCUCCCCCCUCCCCUGGGGUUCCUGUGCCUGCGUCUACUGAGCUUUCGUCGACUGAACGCUCCAUUGCCCCUGCCCCUCGUCGUCGUCGGGGACGUGGGCCACGCGCCGGUCGCUCGGGACCUCCUCCAGGCGAUCUUCGUUACUUUUUAUCACGAGGC
This 316-nucleotide long non-coding RNA is filed under the name Zostera marina. RNAcentral's name for it is "long non-coding RNA (ZMAR_LNC003633)". The record is from RNAcentral. Lineage: Eukaryota; Viridiplantae; Streptophyta; Magnoliopsida; Alismatales; Zosteraceae.